RNAcentral lists this ribosomal RNA (844 nucleotides) under uncultured archaeon. RNAcentral describes it as "bacterial SSU rRNA". It matches the Rfam family "Archaeal small subunit ribosomal RNA", at positions 508 to 1358 of the family's 1478-position model. The record is from RNAcentral.
GCUUAAAGCGGCCGUAGCUGGCUGUUCAAGUCCCCCUGUUAAAUCCAGCGAUUUAAUCGUUGGUUUGCGGGGGAUACUGUUCGGCUAGGGGACGGGAGAGGCAGACGGUAUUUUCGGGGUAGGGGUGAAAUCCUAUAAUCCCGGGAAGACCACCAGUGGCGAAGGCUGUCUGCUAGAACGCGCCCGACGGUGAAGGAUGAAAGCUGGGGGAGCGAACCGGAUUAGAUACCCGGGUAGUCCCAGCUGUAAACUAUGCAGGCUAGGUGUUUGGGCGGCUACGUGCCGCUCUAGUGCCGCAGGGAAGCUGUUAAGCCUGCCGCCUGGGGAGUACGGUCGCAAGAUUGAAACUUAAAGGAAUUGGCGGGGGAGCACCACAAGGGGUGAAGCUUGCGGUUUAAUUGGAGUCAACGCCGGAAAUCUCACCGGGGGCGACAGCAGUAUGAUGGCCAGAUUAAAGGUCUUGCCAGACGAGCUGAGAGGAGGUGCAUGGCCGUCGCCAGUUCGUGCCGUGAGGUGUCCUGUUAAGUCAGGCAACGAUCGAGACCCGCGUCCUCUGUUGCUACUGGUUUUGUGCUAGGCACACUGAGGAGACCGCCGCUGAUAAAGCGGAGGAAGGAGCGGGCCACGGCAGGUCAGUAUGCCCCGAAUCUCCCGGGCCACACGCGAGCUGCAAUGGCAGGUACAGUGGGUUCCGACCUCGAAAGGGGGAGGUAAUCUCGAAAGCCUGCCGUAGUUGGGAUCGUGGGUUGAAACUCACCCUCGUGAACAUGGAAUCCCUAGUAAUCGCGUGUCACUAGCGCGCGGUGAAUACGUCCCUGCUCCUUGCACACACCCCCCGUAAGGG